This 487-nucleotide ribosomal RNA is filed under the name uncultured bacterium. RNAcentral describes it as "bacterial SSU rRNA". It matches the Rfam family "Bacterial small subunit ribosomal RNA", at positions 501 to 987 of the family's 1533-position model. The record is from RNAcentral.
CUACGUGCCAGCAGCCGCGGUAAUACGGAGGGUGCGAGCGUUAAUCGGAAUAACUGGGCGUAAAGGGCACGCAGGCGGUGACUUAAGUGAGGUGUGAAAGCCCCGGGCUUAACCUGGGAAUUGCAUUUCAUACUGGGUCGCUAGAGUACUUUAGGGAGGGGUAGAAUUCCACGUGUAGCAGUGAAAUGCGUAGAGAUGUGGAGGAAUACCGAUGGCGAAGGCAGCCUCCUGGGAUAACACUGACGUUCAUGCUCGAAAGCGUGGGUAGCAAACAGGAUUAGAUACCCUGGUAGUCCACGCCCUAAACGAUGUCAAUUAGCUGUUGGGCAACUUGAUUGCUUAGUAGUGUAGCUAACGCGUGAAAUUGACCGCCUGGGGAGUACGGUCGCAAGAUUAAAACUCAAAGGAAUUGACGGGGACCCGCACAAGCGGUGGAUGAUGUGGAUUAAUUCGAUGCAACGCGAAGAACCUUACCUGGUCUUGACAU